Molecule: ribosomal RNA, 803 nt
Filed under: uncultured bacterium
Lineage: Bacteria
Description: bacterial SSU rRNA
Rfam family: Bacterial small subunit ribosomal RNA
Source: RNAcentral
UCAUUCGAGUAGCAAUACAAGAAUGGUUUAGUGGCGCACGGGUGAGUAACACGUGAAUGACAUGCCCUGCAGAGGGGGAUAGCCCAGGGAAACUUGGAUUAAUACCCCAUGGUAUCGCAAGAUUAAACGGUGGCCGCAAGGCUGUCGCUGCGGGAUUGGUUCGCGUUCUAUCAGCUUGUUGGCGGGGUAACGGCCCACCAAGGCUACGACGGAUACCUGGUCUGAGAGGACGAUCAGGCACACUGGAACUGAGACACGGUCCAGACACCUACGGGUGGCAGCAGUCGAGAAUAAUUCACAAUGGGGGCAACCCUGAUGGUGCAACGCCGCGUGGAGGAUGAAGGUCUUCGGAUUGUAAACUCCUGUCAUCCGGGAGCAAGACCUGACGGUCAAUAUCCGGCAGGGUUGAUAGUACCGGAAGAGGAAGGGACGGCUAACUUCGUGCCAGCAGCCGCGGUAAUACGAAGGUCCCGAGCGUUGUUCGGAAUCACUGGGCGUAAAGGGAGCGUAGGCGGCGUGGUAAGUCAGAUGCGAAAUCCCGGGGCUCAACCCCGGAACUGCAUCCGAUACUGCCGUGCUAGAGUGAUGGAGAGGUAGCUGGAAUUCACGGUGUAGCAGUGAAAUGCGUGGGAUAUCGUGAGGAACACUCGUGGCGAAAGCGAGCUACUGGACAUUUACUGACGCUGAGGCUCGAUGCCAGGGUAGCGAAAGGAUUAGAUACCCCUGUAGUCCUGGCAUAAACGGUGCACGCUUGGUGUGAGGGAAUCGACCCCCCUUGUGCCGGAGCAAACGCGUUAAGCGUG